ACAACUUUUAGCAACGGAUCUCUUGGCUCUCGCAUCGAUGAAGAACGCAGCGAAAUGCGAUAAGUAAUGUGAAUUGCAGAAUUCAGUGAAUCAUCGAAUCUUUGAACGCACCUUGCGCUCCUUGGUAUUCCGAGGAGCAUGCCUGUUUGAGUGUCAU
This 157-nucleotide ribosomal RNA is filed under the name Trametes ochracea. RNAcentral describes it as "5.8S ribosomal RNA". It matches the Rfam family "5.8S ribosomal RNA". From Rfam's summary of the family: 5.8S ribosomal RNA (5.8S rRNA) is a component of the large subunit of the eukaryotic ribosome. It is transcribed by RNA polymerase I as part of the 45S precursor that also contains 18S and 28S rRNA. Functionally, it is thought that 5.8S rRNA may be involved in ribosome translocation. Lineage: Eukaryota; Fungi; Basidiomycota; Agaricomycetes; Polyporales; Polyporaceae. The record is from RNAcentral.